CUUACAAUUACUUAAAUGUUUUUUCUUUUUAUGUACUUUGUUUUUGUGACUGCACCAAUAUUGAUAUAACAAAGUUUUAACAAUAAUUACUUUUCUGCUUACGUUAUGAGGCCUGUGGUCAAUAGUGGAAGCUUAGAAGGAUUAAUAAAUCACUGUGACAUCAUAUCAUUCUGGGAGGAGGGGAUUGUCAUAGUUAGUAGAAUUAAAUAGCAUACAGUGGGAUAAAUAUUAUCCUGGGUGGAGGGGAUUGUUAGUAAUAAGAAGUAGUGAUCCCAUUGCUAGCAGUAUAUCCUGUCAGGUUGACCUCCACGCCGUUCCUCUGGAAACCAUAGUGGUUAAUUCACGACAAAGUCAUCAUGAUGAGCCAACUGACCUGAGUUCUUUCCAUCUUUACCUUAUAAUCUUUCACUGGUAGUCUACCAAUGUGUGCUAAUAGUACAGGUUACCAUUCUGUAUCACCCUUCGAUAAUAUAAGAUUAUGUUCCAAAAAAUGAAAUCGACUUUAUUUGUAGCAAAACCAGUUAUUGUGAUUUAAAAAGUAAUGAAACAAUUCUAUGGGACCAAUCCGUAAGCAUAUCUUUUUAGAUAAAACUUAAUUUUCCAAAUCGGUUUACAACUGACGGAGUUAUGAGGUAAGGAACAUAAAAAAAUACAACCGAAUUGAGAACAUUCUUUUUAUCGAAGUCAGUUAAAAAAAAAUCUAUUCUGAUAACUAAGGUAAGCCUCCGCUCCCAGUAAUUUCACUGGCACUAUCUCGCCUUUCUAACUAGAACAGAACAAUGCUAGCAUACAGCUGUUGGCAGCAAAAACACGACUCAAACAAUACAAACGUCUGUAAUACAAAAGUCCAUCUGUCUGUUUGCUUAGUUGCUAGGUGGUAAAAUCCUUACUAAUAUUAUAAAUGUGAAAGUGAGUUUGUUUGUUUGUUACCUUACAGCAUCUUAACGGGUUAACUAAUUACUAUACAAAUUAGUAUACACAUACUAUAUGGUAUGUAGAAGGAUAUAGGCUACUUUUUAUUUCGGUCAGUAAGUAAGUUAAUUGAUGCUGUUAAUUAAAUGGCAUAAAAUGAGGACUUUUCAAAUUUUUAUUGUAAGAUUAAAAAAAAAACUGUGUUACCACCAUUGAUACGAAUCACACAAUCACAUCUACUUGGCGUACUUAAAAUCAGUUUAAAUUCUUUUUUGAAAAUAAGUUUAAAUUGACUGAACAGAAUUAAUAACGAUAAAAAAAAAGUUAAAAUAAAAAUCCUUAAUUGCGGCAAUACUCGAUUCUACCAAGUACUUGAUCUUGAUUUGACACUUUUGAUGUGUGUAAUUAUUAAUUAACAUUCAUAUAAUUAAAAAAUUGCAGCCAAAUUGAGAAUUUUCUUUUUUAAAUCACUUAUUUUAAAACUUACAUUAGUCAAACUUUACUAACAUAUGUAACGCACAAAGUCAUGCAUUAUCAUCAUUAAUUACUUAGCCGAAAUUCCUAAUAUACAAUAAAGUAUACAUUGGCGAGAAUAUAUAUUUUAUUUGUACAGAGUUGACAAGCUAUUAAAUUAGGUUGGGCCUACAAACGAGGAACAUCAAGCUACGCCGGCGAGCGGAGUUUACGAGCUAGGGCGAAUGGCUAAAUAUUCCAGCCUAAUUGAUGGCGGUCGAACACCGAGCCGGCCACGUUACUCCUCGUAAUGGCUCAAAAAUGAUUGAAUGCUUGAAAAAAUCGUACACUCUUGGCAGAGUGGUCGUGGUUUUCACAAUGACGGUGGAUCGUCGGUGAGGCUCUCCUUCGCGAUUGAGGUCCUCGCAGUAUGUCUCCAUCUACUUCUGUUCGCCGCCGAGCGAGAGCAUUCCACAAUAGAUUUCUGUGUAGCCGUUUUGAUGAGCGCUAUAUAUGAAUGAAUACAUAUCAUAUAAGAAAAUUGGAAGCAAAAUGAUAAAAAGUCAAGAAUCCAGUACUUAAAGUUAUCCUGAAGUUACUCGAGUAAAUGAGUCAACAGACGACUCACUUGAAAAGAACAAGAAGGGAGUUGCACAAGUUAUUCGAAGUUAUGACGACUGAGAUAAAGUUUGCGUCUGUAUGUGUAAAAUAUGAUACAUAUUAUGAUAUAUACUAUUGAUAUAUGACAA
This is a long non-coding RNA of Galleria mellonella (greater wax moth), 2114 nucleotides long. RefSeq lists it as uncharacterized. The record is from RefSeq and is a predicted model, not a curated record. Lineage: Eukaryota; Metazoa; Arthropoda; Insecta; Lepidoptera; Pyralidae. The transcript is spliced from 3 exons.